RNAcentral lists this ribosomal RNA (253 nucleotides) under uncultured bacterium. RNAcentral's name for it is "partial 16S ribosomal RNA". It matches the Rfam family "Bacterial small subunit ribosomal RNA", at positions 524 to 776 of the family's 1533-position model. The record is from RNAcentral.
UACGGGGGGGGCAAGCGUUGUUCGGAAUUACUGGGCGUAAAGGGCUCGUAGGCGGCCAACUAAGUCGGACGUGAAAUCCCUCGGCUUAACCGGGGAACUGCGUCCGAUACUGGAUGGCUUGAGUUCGGGAGAGGGAUGCGGAAUUCCAGGUGUAGCGGUGAAAUGCGUAGAUAUCAGGAGGAACACCGGUGGCGAAGGCGGAUCUCUGGGCCUUGCCUGACGCUGAGGCGCGAAAGCUAGGGGAGCGAACAGG